AACUUUUGGCAACGGAUCACUUGGCUCUCGCAUCGAUGAAGAACGCAGCGAAAUGCGAUACGUAAUGAGAAUUGCAGAAUUCAGUGAAUCAUCGAAUCUUUGAACGCACAUUGCACUCUCUGGUAUUCCGGAGAGUAUGCUUGUUUGAGUAUCUGUAAACAUCUCAAAUCUCUCGACUUUCUAGUUUGAGAGAAUUGGACUUGAGCAAUCCCAACUCCUUCGUCAGAAAGAGGAGGGUUGCUUGAAAUGCAGGUGCAGCUGGGCAUUCUUCUGAGCUAAAAGCAUAUUUAUUUAGUCCCGUCAAACGGAUUAUUAUUCUUGCUUCAGCUUACAUAAAGGUUGAAUGACUACCGAGGCUGAUUGCAGGUAAACUCGUUCCGUAAAAAAGAACUUGUGAACUCGAUCUCAAAUCAAGUAAGACUACCCGCUGAACUUAAGCAUAUCAAUAAGCGGAGGCU
This 458-nucleotide unclassified non-coding RNA is filed under the name uncultured Mortierellaceae. Its description in RNAcentral is "sequence contains ITS2". The stretch from base 1 to 154 matches the Rfam family "5.8S ribosomal RNA". Lineage: Eukaryota; Fungi; Mortierellomycota; Mortierellomycetes; Mortierellales; Mortierellaceae. The record is from RNAcentral.